Molecule: long non-coding RNA, 1032 nt
Filed under: Lepisosteus oculatus (spotted gar)
Lineage: Eukaryota; Metazoa; Chordata; Actinopteri; Semionotiformes; Lepisosteidae
Description: lncRNA (ENSLOCG00000021166.1)
Source: RNAcentral
AUGAAUUCGAUCAGUACACCGGAAAACACCCGUUUCCAGCCGCAACUGAAAUUAAGAAAAAAACAUCAGAACAUUUUUUAUUUCCAUUGUAUUUCAACACAUGGCCGGAAGGCGGCGCCAUUUCACCGGUCCGUGCUGUGCCGGCGGGUGUAAUGGAAAGCAGGAACGCGAAUCGCUGGGGAAGUCGGAGGUACGGCGGAGUGGGCAAGGCUUGUUAAACGAGCCGAAGCUGCCAAACCAGUCAUUACAUUUUCGGCUAGCUAGGGCCCUCCCACCUCCUCCUUCUACCUACCAGAGGAGGAAAAAAACACACACAAAAAGCUAACUAGCGCCAUCCUCACAGCUUUGUUCUUGCACAGAAGAGAGAAAAACAGAGGGGUAGGCAAUCAGUGCGGGGCUGACAACACCGGGGGAUAUCGAAGAGUCUGCGUACUUUGACUCGUCAGUAUUGCACAAUGUGACACCACACCGCUUGCCUAUCUUCUCGACCACAAAAAUGCAGAAGGCCAAAGCAUUUUUAGUCCGUUUGAGCUAAAAGCCAGUUGUCCCCCUCCACAGCGUCUGCAAUGCCGAAUUGAAACACUGCUCCGUCCACGACACUCGCCUCGCCUGUCAGCCCGUCCCAGUUCAGCGGGACCCGAGCGGAAAACCUGCACGGAAUUAUUAUUUUUCACCUUUUAAGCCCCCCGUAAGGUUUUCGCUAACGGGAAAUGUCGUAUGUUACGAUUUUUGCAUACGGCGGCCAGCCAGGGAUUAUAUGAACACGUCUGUGAUCCCGAAAGAGGAAAGAGCAGUGGGGCGCUUCAUUACUUCAAUUUUCGGAAAGGCAGCAGAGUGCUUGAGUGCCGCAUUUCUUGAGUGUCGGUGUGUGCCAUGCAGACUGCUUGCUUCAAAGUCUUGUUCUGAAGGUCUCGAGAAGCCGCAGCAAAACCGAAAAGGCAUGAUUGCAGAGACAUGUGAGCUUAUUUUUAUUGCCGUCUUCACUUGAACUUGUUAAGCUAUUUGAAAAUAUUUUAAGAAAGGAAGGGAAGG